Molecule: non-coding RNA, 433 nt
Organism: Peromyscus maniculatus bairdii (prairie deer mouse)
Lineage: Eukaryota; Metazoa; Chordata; Mammalia; Rodentia; Cricetidae
Source: RefSeq, a predicted model, not a curated record
GUGUUGCUGAUUAGACAAUACCAUUUCCAAAGGCUUGGUCCAGAGCUUUUGGGCCAGGAGAGCACAAGGUACUUCUCCAGUCAUAUUAGCUGAGCCUAAACUCCAAGAACUAUAAUUCUUCCCUCCUGCUUUUGAUCUUCGUUAGGAGAAAACAGAAGAACAUAACUGAACCCCGUUCCCUACCAAUCAUCACAACAUUUAAGAAAAAAGCCCAGGGGCAGAAACCACAUCCAGCUGGGGACACAUGUUGAAUUAGCCUUCAAGCACAAUCACCAGGCCUUCCCCACAUAAACAUUAAUCUGCUUCACUAUUCUAAGCACGUUCAAUUAAUAUUUUUAGCCCACAGUAAAAAAGUAUGCAGUAUACUGGUAAAUCUUAUAAUAUUAGACCCGUUUAGAAUAAUGCAGCUAAUAUAAAUUUUUAGCAGUCUUAA